Molecule: long non-coding RNA, 1414 nt
Filed under: Equus asinus (donkey)
Lineage: Eukaryota; Metazoa; Chordata; Mammalia; Perissodactyla; Equidae
Description: lncRNA (ENSEASG00005036244.1)
Source: RNAcentral
AAAGAGGACUCACGUUUUUGUUCUGUUUCUGAGUGCCUACUAUAAGCCAGCACUGUUACAAACAUGGCGCUCAUUAUUCUCAUUUAUAGAUGUGAAAAACUAGGCCCAGAGAGGUUAAGAAACACAGCGAGUUCACACAGCUGAGCCAGCGUUGAAACCAUGGUUACCUCCCUCGGAAAAUUGACGCUUUCUUUUUCACAAAUCCACAACAGGUGGAGGUGGGGACGGCAGGAAAUGAGGGAUAAAUGGGGCGCCAAUACUCAGAUCUUGCCUGUCAGCUGGCAGGAGGAGUUUCGGAAACCCUUUCGGGGCUGCCCUAAACGAGUUGUUAUCUCUCCACUCUCUGCCUUCUUCGGGCACAAUUCAGGUUACGUGAUGGAAGAUACAGAUGGAGUUUUGCUUUUUAAAGUCCCAGGGAGAGCUGCGAUCACAGAGGGUUUCUCUGGUUCAGAUCCUGGGCGCGGACAUGGCACCACUCAUCAGGCCAUGCUGAGAUGGCAUCCUGCAUGCAAUGACUGGAAGGACCCACAACUAAGGUCCUGAAGGAUCUGGGUUUUGCUCCACAUCAACCAGGAGGGAUGGAAGAACAUUCUAAGACAGCACAAGAGAACCAGUUACCACCUGGAUGCCAUGUUUAAUAGAUCAGGAUUCAUAGCUAAGAAAAGGCAGAUCAUGAGCUGUCUCAAUCUUGGACACAUAUGAUAAAGACUCUGGUAAUUAAGUUGGGGGAGUGGUGGUCAAGAAUGCUCUCCAAUGUCAAGGGAAACCAUCUUAUUUUUAUUGAGCCCUGAAUUUAUGCCAGAAACAAUGCCACUGUAGCAUCCAGCAAGGAUGGUUGUUCACCUGUUCUGUCUACUCUGGGCUGCAGAAUCUAAUGGCCAUAUAUGAAGUGGUCCAGACAUGACAAUUUUUGGAUAGUUCUUUGAGUGUUUAUGUGUCAGUGAAAAAUGGCCACAAUCACUUUCAUUUGAGAAUAACGUACAGUUUUUAAGACAUAGCUAUAGAAAACAUUGUAUAGAGAAUAGAGUCCUGAGUUAGUGCUUGCUCAAAGGGCAAAGCACCCAGUGUUGAUCAAGCCAUGUCUCCUGUAGGUUUGGUUUGCCUUGGGCUCCUGUCCAUGGUAGGUGGUGUUGAGGCUCUCUGUCCUGCCAACCAGAAUGAUGCUGAGCUCAUCUGCAUCUCCUUUGCUUUGUCUGGUCUCUCAGCUCAGGCAGCUGCAGGCUUUCUCUCAGGGGCCUUGUGGUUACAGGAGUUCAUUUCAGAGAUGCUUUGGAAAGAUGAGGACACAAAACAGUUUUCCUCAUUGGGUCGAAAUAUGGAUGUCAAGUCAAUUCCUCUACCAACUACCCUCUAAUUCAGCGGAAGUCCAGGGCUCAAUAAUUUCUCAUCCAUUCAGCACCUUACAUUAGUCACU